UGUUGCUAUGGUCUGUGACCCAGCUCCAUCUUAGCUACGCUGAAGGUUUUGAGAGACUAGGCAGUUGUUGGAAACAUUGACUGAAAAGAUCAAGCAAAGUUGGAAAGGAGCAAAUCUCUAUGUAAACAUCAAUAUCGUCAAUUAAUUAGGAAACACAGCAAGAUAAAUAAUAAGAACCCAUAAAAGGUCACCGGCUGUACUCUAGGAUGAAUCAGUGUAUUGAAGUUGACAAGAAGGACAAUUCCACAGAUGAUGGGAUUUGGGAGAGUAUCACAGCUAAGACUAUCUAUGGAAGACUGGAGGACACAGACUACGUGAAUUCUCACACGGGGCUCUCAACCUGCUUCCUCCCACUCACAUGCCACUUAAUAAAUAAACCUUGCUCAACAAAAAAGCAAUUUUACUGUACUAUGCUGAUUUGCUUGAAAAUCCUUGAUAAGGGCCCGCUUGCAAAAGGCUCCUGUAAGCCCUUGUCUGGCUGGUGCUCAGCACCUGGCAGGAUUUGUCCCUAGAUAAAAGCAAUUUCUCAGGGGACCUUGUGUCUUACACAAGGAGACAAAAGCAAGUACUCUUUUUUUGGAUUUUAUGUCUGUAUGUUUUUGUAUGCGCACAUGUGUGUGAG
Molecule: long non-coding RNA, 622 nt
Organism: Ficedula albicollis (Collared flycatcher)
Lineage: Eukaryota; Metazoa; Chordata; Aves; Passeriformes; Muscicapidae
Exons: 3
Source: RefSeq, a predicted model, not a curated record